Molecule: ribosomal RNA, 685 nt
Filed under: uncultured bacterium
Lineage: Bacteria
Description: bacterial SSU rRNA
Rfam family: Bacterial small subunit ribosomal RNA
Source: RNAcentral
AUUAAGUCAGUGGUGAAAUCUUACCGCUUAACGGUGAAAUUGCCAUUGAUACUGAUUUUCUUGAGUACAGUUGAGGUAGGCGGAAUGUGUAAUGUAGCGGUGAAAUGCUUAGAUAUUACACAGAACACCGAUUGCGAAGGCAGCUUACUAAACUGUCACUGACGCUGAGGCACGAAAGCGUGGGGAGCGAACAGGAUUAGAUACCCUGGUAGUCCACGCUGUAAACGAUGAUCACUCGUUGUUGGCGAUACACUGUCAGCGACUGAGCGAAAGCAUUAAGUGAUCCACCUGGGGAGUACGACCGCAAGGUUGAAACUCAAAGGAAUUGACGGGGGCCCGCACAAGCGGAGGAACAUGUGGUUUAAUUCGAUGAUACGCGAGGAACCUUACCUGGGCUUAAAUGCAGGACGACGUUCGCCGAAAGGUGAAUUUCCUUCGGGACGGACUGCAAGGUGCUGCAUGGUUGUCGUCAGCUCGUGCCGUGAGGUGUCGGGUUAAGUCCCAUAACGAGCGCAACCCUUAUCGUUAGUUGCCAGCGGGUAAUGCCGGGGACUCUAACGAAACUGCCGGUGUAAACCGUGAGGAAGGUGGGGAUGACGUCAAAUCAGCACGGCCCUUAUGUCCAGGGCUACACACGUGUUACAAUGGCCGGUACAAAGGGCAGCUACCUGGUGACAGGAUGCUA